Nadsonia fulvescens var. elongata DSM 6958 is the source of this 127-nucleotide transfer RNA. It matches the Rfam family "tRNA". Rfam says of the family: Transfer RNA (tRNA) molecules are approximately 80 nucleotides in length. Their secondary structure includes four short double-helical elements and three loops (D, anti-codon, and T loops). The record is from Rfam. NCBI's taxonomy places the organism in Eukaryota, Fungi, Ascomycota, Dipodascomycetes, Dipodascales.
GGAUGGGUGGCCGAGUGGUUUAAGGCGCCAGGUUUAGGUUACAACCUAAAUUCAAAUAUUCGAUGUGCAAGCAUUGAUAAAACCCCUGGUAUCUUCGGAUGCGCGAGUUCGAAUCUCGCCUCAUUCA